GACUACUGGGGUAUCUAAGCCUGUUUGCUACCCUAGCUUUCGUACCUCAGCGUCAGUAUUUGGCCAGGAGACUGCUUUCGCCAUCGGUGUUCCUCCUGAUAUCUACGCAUUUCACCGCUACACCAGGAAUUCCGUCUCCCCCUCCAACACUCAAGCUAUACAGUAUCUAUGUCCCUUCCCAGUUGAGCCAGGAAAUUUCACCAUAGACUUAUACAACCGCCUACAUACGCUUUACGCCUAGUAAUUCCGAGUAACGCUCGCCACCUACGUAUUACCGCGGCUGCUGGCACGUAGUUAGCCGUGGCUUUUUCUGAGGGUACCGUCAAUUUAUUCGUCCCCUCCAAAAGAAGUUUACAACCCGAAGGCCUUCAUCCUUCACGCGGCGUCGCUGGAUCAGGGUUUCCCCCAUUGUCCAAAAUUCCCCACUGCAGCCACCCGUAGG
This 442-nucleotide ribosomal RNA is filed under the name uncultured bacterium. RNAcentral describes it as "partial 16S ribosomal RNA". The record is from RNAcentral.